GGGAGCAGCCGCCUUAGGGAGAAAGUUCUAUGUUUAUGAGGCAGGAAAAACAAACGGGGCUCAUUUAGACUUGGUUAAAAAGUUUAAAGGCAUUGGACAAACUCAGGUGCAUCGUCCUGAGGAUUGUGACUAUCUCCUGAUAAUCUGUCCGGCUGUUUCACGAGUUGGAACGAACAUCAGCGAGGCCUUGGAAAGCAUGCCUGCUCCUAAACCAGCGAUUCUGGUGGUGAUGCAUC
Scomber japonicus (chub mackerel) is the source of this 236-nucleotide long non-coding RNA. RefSeq lists it as uncharacterized. The record is from RefSeq and is a predicted model, not a curated record. The transcript has 3 exons. Lineage: Eukaryota; Metazoa; Chordata; Actinopteri; Scombriformes; Scombridae.